This 281-nucleotide ribosomal RNA is filed under the name uncultured bacterium. Its description in RNAcentral is "partial 16S ribosomal RNA". It matches the Rfam family "Bacterial small subunit ribosomal RNA", at positions 28 to 310 of the family's 1533-position model. The record is from RNAcentral.
AACGAACGCUGGCGGCGCGCUUAACACAUGCAAGUCGAGCGGUAAGGCCCUUUCGGGGGUACACGAGCGGCGAACGGGUGAGUAACACGUGGGUGACCUGCCCUCAGCUCUGGGAUAAGCCUGGGAAACCGGGUCUAAUACUGGAUAUGACUCCAUGACGCAUGUUGUGGGGUGGAAAGCCUUGUGCGGCUGAGGAUGGGCCCGCGGCCUAUCAGCUUGUUGGUGGGGUGANGGCCUACCAAGGCGACGACGGGUAGCCGGCCUGAGAGGGCGACCGGCCA